Non-coding RNA from Nicotiana tabacum (common tobacco), 547 nucleotides. NCBI's taxonomy places the organism in Eukaryota, Viridiplantae, Streptophyta, Magnoliopsida, Solanales, Solanaceae. The record is from RefSeq and is a predicted model, not a curated record.
CCUUUGAUUUAUUUGAAUGAGAAUAAUGCAAACCUGUUCAUACUUUGUGUUGUUUCAAAUCUACCAAAUUGGUUAAUAUUCACCAUGCUACCUCUUGUUUGGUUACUGUAUUGAAACAUAGUUGAAUUGCAAUUCAAGUUUACUACACUUGUUAUGUCAGAAAAAAUGAUUUUAAAAUCUGUUUGUUUUUCCAUUGAGUAAUGUGGUUUCAGAAGAUGAGAAUUGGGCGAAAACAGGUGGAGAAUUGAUCUGGACACCAAUUGGAUUGAUUUCUUAUAGUAUGAACCGGUAACUCAAGUGUUUUAUGAGUUUGAUUCCGGUAGCCUGAUUUCGUGUUGUUAGACUUGGGUUAUUAAUUAAGAUGGUGUAUGUUUAUAUUCCGUUUUAGAGGUUUUCUCUUGUGUUAGCUGAUGUUGAUUGAGAAAUUACUCCAACAAAUGUGCAAUAGUCAUCUUUAAUUAGUAAAAAAGGCAUUUGAUCCUUUUCUGGAUGGAAACUGUAGCUAAUGUCAAAUUGUGAAACAAAUGAAGAGAUGCUGUCUGUGAAU